Molecule: ribosomal RNA, 550 nt
Filed under: uncultured bacterium
Lineage: Bacteria
Description: bacterial SSU rRNA
Rfam family: Bacterial small subunit ribosomal RNA
Source: RNAcentral
UAGGGAAUCUUCCGCAAUGGGCGAAAGCCUGACGGAGCAACGCCGCGUGAGUGAUGAAGGUCUUCGGAUCGUAAAACUCUGUUAUUAGGGAAGAACAUAUGUGUAAGUAACUGUGCACAUCUUGACGGUACCUAAUCAGAAAGCCACGGCUAACUACGUGCCAGCAGCCGCGGUAAUACGUAGGUGGCAAGCGUUAUCCGGAAUUAUUGGGCGUAAAGCGCGCGUAGGCGGUUUUUUAAGUCUGAUGUGAAAGCCCACGGCUCAACCGUGGAGGGUCAUUGGAAACUGGAAAACUUGUGUGCAGAAGAGGAAAGUGGAAUUCCAUGUGUAGCGGUGAAAUGCGCAGAGAUAUGGAGGAACACCAGUGGCGAAGGCGACUUUCUGGUCUGUAACUGACGCUGAUGUGCGAAAGCGUGGGGAUCAAACAGGAUUAGAUACCCUGGUAGUCCACGCCGUAAACGAUGAGUGCUAAGUGUUAGGGGGUUUCCGCCCCUUAGUGCUGCAGCUAACGCAUUAAGCACUCCGCCUGGGGAGUACGACCGCAAGGUUG